AGCGAACGCUGGCGGCAGGCUUAACACAUGCAAGUCGAACGGUCAUCUUCGGAUGUCAGUGGCAGACGGGUGAGUAACACGUGGGAACGUACCUUUCGGUUCGGAAUAACUCAGGGAAACUUGAGCUAAUACCGGAUACGCCCUUUUGGGGAAAGGUUUACUGGCGAAGGAUCGGCCCGCGUCUGAUUUGCUUGUUGGUGGGGUGACGGCAUACCAAGGCGACGAUCCGUAGCUGGUCUGAGAGGAUGAUCAGCCACACUGGGACUGAGACACGGCCCAGACUCCUACGGGAGGCAGCAGUGGGUGAUAUUGGACAAUGAGCGCAAGCCUGAUCCGGCCAUGCCGCGUGAGUGAUGAAGGCCUUAGGGUUGUAAAGCUCUUUUGUCCGGGACGAUAAUGACGGUACCGGAAGAAUAAGCCCCGGCUAACUUCGUG
Molecule: ribosomal RNA, 435 nt
Filed under: uncultured bacterium
Lineage: Bacteria
Description: partial 16S ribosomal RNA
Rfam family: Bacterial small subunit ribosomal RNA
Source: RNAcentral